This 220-nucleotide long non-coding RNA is filed under the name Nicotiana benthamiana. RNAcentral's name for it is "long non-coding RNA (NBEN_LNC000623)". The record is from RNAcentral. Lineage: Eukaryota; Viridiplantae; Streptophyta; Magnoliopsida; Solanales; Solanaceae.
UUAAACCUUUUCGUCGAAAUGAAACGCUUAUAUUUAAACUUGCAAUGCUUUCUUUACCACUUCAGUGCUUAAUAUCAGUAAGAGAAAGCAGUUUGACAGCUUCAAAGUGAACUGACAUAGGCUAAACAAAAAUAGAUGCACACACACACACACACAGAGGCAGAACCAGCUAGAGGAGGCAUGCUUAAAUUUUCGUCAACGAAUAGAUUAGGACAGUUUC